Non-coding RNA from Paramuricea clavata, 334 nucleotides. NCBI's taxonomy places the organism in Eukaryota, Metazoa, Cnidaria, Anthozoa, Malacalcyonacea, Plexauridae. The record is from the annotation of a GenBank genome assembly.
GUGAAUUAAAGACGGGUUAUUCGCCGGUUUUGAAAGAUCCUUUUCCACGGACUAUUUUCACACACAAAUAUUUCUAUAACAAGAUAUUUACCCGGUAUUUCAGGUUUUGUUGUUGGAUCAAUCUUGGAGUGAACUUUAUAUCCUCGACAUUUCCCGGAAUCCUCAGCUUAUCGAAAGUCUUCUCGCGUUCAUAGGACAGUCACGUGAUGUAACAUGUAAUGACGACAACAAGCCCCUCCAUAUAGGUGCAUUGAAAGUAGCAUUAGAACGUCUUCAUUCACUUGAACUGGAUCUUGUCGAAUAUCUCUUUCUUAAAGUCAUUUAUUUCUUAAAG